RNAcentral lists this ribosomal RNA (465 nucleotides) under uncultured bacterium. Its description in RNAcentral is "partial 16S ribosomal RNA". It matches the Rfam family "Bacterial small subunit ribosomal RNA", at positions 339 to 795 of the family's 1533-position model. The record is from RNAcentral.
CUACGGGGGGCUGCAGUGAGGAAUUUUGCGCAAUGGGGGAAACCCUGACGCAGCAACGCCGCGUGAGUGAUGAAGGCCUUUGGGUCGUAAAGCUCUGUCAAGUGGGAAGAAUAUACUUAAUACGAAUAGUAUUUAGUACUGACGGUACCACUGAAGGAAGCACCGGCUAACUCCGUGCCAGCAGCCGCGGUAAUACGGAGGGUGCAAGCGUUAUUCGGAAUUAUUGGGCGUAAAGAGCGCGUAGGCGGUCUUAUAAGUCAGAUGUGAAAUCCCGGGGCUCAACCCCGUAAGUGCAUUUGAAACUAUAAGACUUGAGUAUGGGAGAGGGAAGUGGAAUUCCUGGUGUAGCGGUGAAAUGCGUAGAUAUCAGGAAGAACAUCGGUGGCGAAGGCGACUUCCUGGACCAAUACUGACGCUGAGGCGCGAAGGCGUGGGUAGCAAACAGGAUUAGAUACCCUCGUAGUC